UCGACUCUCACGUACACGCCGUCAGGCCUUGUACCUCUUUGCAGAGAGAGCCAGGUAGAGCUCCGGGAACAAAUUGACAACCUAGCCACAGAACUGUGCCGCAUAAAUGAGGAUCAGAAGGUGGCCCUGGAUCUUGACCCCUAUGUUAAGAAGCUACUUAAUGCCCGGCGACGCGUUGUCUUGGUUAACAACAUUCUACAGAAUGCUCAGGAACGACUGAGACGGCUAAACCACAGUGUUGCCAAGGAAACAGCCCGCAGGAGAGCAAUGCUGGAUUCGGGAAUUUACCCCCCUGGCUCCCCAGGCAAAUAACAGAUGAGCCUAUGGACUCAGUAGCACAAGUACUGUUCCCCAGCUGCCUUGUUUCAACAGACAUGCAAAGAUCCUAGGAGACAGUCCCCAUAGACCUUCAGACAUUAAAAAGGGAGCCGUACAGUUUGUUUGAAGCACUUCGUCUUACCCAUUUAUGUAGGGGCCCCAGGAAACCUACACACAGCCAGAAUGAGGUUCCCAAAGGACUUACAUUAAUUAUGGCUCUUGCUUCCUUUCACAAAUGAGCUGAGGCCUCUACUUUUUUUUUUAAGCUGCAUACGUGAGGCUUACCUUCUUCAGGACUAGUUAACCAGAGGGGCUUCCUUUGUAUGUUACAUGCCUGGUUACAUGGGCCUGGACAGCAUGUCCUCUACCUGUGACUUCUCAUUUUCCUGUUUACACUGGGGAUUUGGAGGGGGCAGGCAAAGUCAAAGUGAAUGACCUCUGUCCACCCACUUUUUUAUUGCACUGGCUUGAAU
Molecule: long non-coding RNA, 791 nt
Filed under: Homo sapiens (human)
Lineage: Eukaryota; Metazoa; Chordata; Mammalia; Primates; Hominidae
Description: HSALNT0015445
Source: RNAcentral